This is a long non-coding RNA of Mus musculus (house mouse), 76 nucleotides long. RefSeq annotates it as predicted gene, 41723. NCBI's taxonomy places the organism in Eukaryota, Metazoa, Chordata, Mammalia, Rodentia, Muridae. The record is from RefSeq and is a predicted model, not a curated record. The transcript is spliced from 3 exons.
UACAUAUCAUCCACUAUCACUCUGCUGGGGGAGCAAGAGCACAGUAGAUUUACUGGUCAUAAAAUAGUGCCAUACA